CUAACACAUGCAAGUCGAACGGACAUAGUAGCAAUACUAUGUUAGUGGCGGACGGGUGAGUAAUGCAUGAGCAACCUGCCUUAUACAGGGGGAUAACACUUAGAAAUGGGUGCUAAUACCGCAUAAUAACCUAUCGAGGCAUCGAGAUAGGAGGAAAGGAGUAAUCCGGUAUAAGAUGGGCUCAUGUUCGAUUAGCUAGUUGGUGAGGUAAAGGCCCACCAAGGCGACGAUCGAUAGCCGAACUGAGAGGUUGAACGGCCACAUUGGAACUGAGAGACGGUCCAGACUCCUACGGGAGGCAGCAGUGGGGGAUAUUGCGCAAUGGGGGGAACCCUGACGCAGCAACGCCGUGUGAAGGAAGAAGGCUUUAGGGUUGUAAACUUCUUUGAUUAGGGACGAAGAUAUGACGGUACCUAAGGAACAAGCCACGGCUAACUACGUGCCAGCAGCCGCGGUAAUACGUAGGUGGCGAGCGUUGUCCGGAAUAACUGGGUGUAAAGGGCGAGUAGGUGGGGCGACAAGUCAGAUGUGAAAUUUAGGGGCUCAACUUCUAAGCUGCAUCUGAAACUAGAGUUCUUGAGUACUGGAGAGGGGAGCGGAAUUCCUAGUGUAGCGGUGAAAUGCGUAGAUAUUAGGAGGAACACCAGUGGCGAAGGCGGCUUUCUGGACAGUAACUGACACUGAGGCGCGAGAGCGUGGGGAGCGAACAGGAUUAGAUACCCCU
This 724-nucleotide ribosomal RNA is filed under the name uncultured rumen bacterium. RNAcentral's name for it is "bacterial SSU rRNA". It matches the Rfam family "Bacterial small subunit ribosomal RNA", at positions 48 to 788 of the family's 1533-position model. The record is from RNAcentral.